This is a long non-coding RNA of Carassius auratus (goldfish), 1281 nucleotides long. RefSeq lists it as uncharacterized. The transcript is spliced from 4 exons. The record is from RefSeq and is a predicted model, not a curated record. NCBI's taxonomy places the organism in Eukaryota, Metazoa, Chordata, Actinopteri, Cypriniformes, Cyprinidae.
GUCACUCGCGUCGCUUGCUCGCGUUUCUCGCGUUGACUAUGAAUCGGCCCUUAGAGUUGCUUCAGGCGGCGCCCUGUUAACGUUGGUCCGUCAUUGUUAUCGCUCCGGUAAGCGGUGGUUCUUUGUGUAUCAAUUUAAGCCAUGAUUUCAAUGAAAUUUGUUCUUUAUGCACAUCUUUACAACGGUGUAGGUGGCGGCAAGUUAGUCAUUUAAGUUUUCAUGCUUUGUCUUCGAGUUGCCUGAGAAGGGUAAGACGAACGCAAGUUUUUUUUUCCUCGACAGUGCAAUCGCUCUGGCAGCUGCUUAGGUUGCUCCAAACUGGUCAGUUCAGGUUUCCUGUUUCGUCUUCGAGUUGCAUGAGAAGUGUCAGACGAGCGCAAGUUUUUUUUUUUUUUUUCUGGACAGUGCAAUUGCUCUGGCAGCUGAUUAGGUGGCUCCCAACUGGUCAGUUCAACCUCUCCUGCUUCGUCUUCGAGAAGUCUUUUAGUCAUUCGGUGGCUUUUUUUUCCAGACAGUAUCAUGACUUAGGUUGAUGCAGUGCAAGAUAUGCAGAUUUGAACACCCUGCCCAGGAGGUCCUUUUGAAACAUGACCAAUUGUGCCACUACCAGGGAAGAUACUGCCAACUACCCUGCCUCUACACAGAUUGCAUCUGCUCCUUUAAAACCACUGGUUGACGCCUCACCUUUUAAGAUCACACAAGUGCUUAUCUUCACGUGAGAGUCACUUAACAUUGAAUGGUGAAUUGUGUGACUUAAAGGAAAUUUGUAAAACACCCUAUUACUCCAAACAUAUAAGGAGCCAUUUUUUAAAAAUCAUGAAACUUUAAGGUGCCCUUUUAGCCAGUGUGGUUUUUGAAACACAUCUGAUUUCAUCAUCCAGUGGUCAAAAUCAUUGCAGCUUUUCCAUUACAGACUUUAAAGCAAAUAUCAUUAUUCAAAAUGCAGAACCAAAAGACAGCGAGCCACAAACUGUUGUUAUGCACACACUUUUAUCACCAUUGCAGUUAAUUUUAUAUUGCUUGUGAUAGAUAUGAAGGACAGAUAUGGAAGCCAAUACAUGUUUGACUGGACCCGUUGUUAUUUUUGCACAUUAUUUUGGACUUGAAUUUUGUGAUAGUUAAUUUAAUUGGGAAAGCAUCAAAUAAAAACUGAGUAGAAGUUUUUAAUUUUGCAACACAAAUGUGACAAAUAAGCUCUUAACUUGAAAAAAACUUUCUAUUGUAUUUAAUUUUAUUGCGAAUGAAAUGACUUGAUUUGGUUUGUGAUUUAAACUUGCUGUU